UCAGAGGAUGGUGCAUUAGUGAAUUCCUA
This 29-nucleotide non-coding RNA is filed under the name Rattus norvegicus (Norway rat). Lineage: Eukaryota; Metazoa; Chordata; Mammalia; Rodentia; Muridae. The record is from RNAcentral.